Molecule: transfer RNA, 74 nt
Filed under: Buchnera aphidicola str. APS (Acyrthosiphon pisum)
Lineage: Bacteria; Pseudomonadati; Pseudomonadota; Gammaproteobacteria; Enterobacterales; Erwiniaceae
Also listed under: 6 other names
Description: tRNA-Asp (GTC) (tRNA-Asp-GTC-1-1)
Rfam family: tRNA
About the family: Transfer RNA (tRNA) molecules are approximately 80 nucleotides in length. Their secondary structure includes four short double-helical elements and three loops (D, anti-codon, and T loops).
Source: Rfam by way of RNAcentral
GGUGUGGUAGUUCAGUUGGUUAGAAUACCGGCCUGUCACGCCGGGGGUCGCGGGUUCGAGUCCCGUCCGCACCG